This 440-nucleotide ribosomal RNA is filed under the name uncultured bacterium. RNAcentral's name for it is "partial 16S ribosomal RNA". It matches the Rfam family "Bacterial small subunit ribosomal RNA", at positions 338 to 795 of the family's 1533-position model. The record is from RNAcentral.
CCUACGGGCGGCAGCAGUAGGGAAUAUUGCUCAAUGGGGGAAACCCUGAAGCAGCAACGCCGCGUGGAGGAUGAAGGUUUUCGGAUUGUAAACUCCUUUUGUUAGAGAAGAUAAUGACGGUAUCUAACGAAUAAGCACCGGCUAACUCCGUGCCAGCAGCCGCGGUAAUACGGAGGGUGCAAGCGUUACUCGGAAUCACUGGGCGUAAAGAGCGCGUAGGCGGGAUAGCAAGUCAGAUGUGAAAUCCUAGGGCUUAACCAUAGAACUGCAUUUGAAACUGUUAUUCUAGAGUAUGGGAGAGGUAGGUGGAAUGCUUGGUGUAGGGGUAAAAUCCGUAGAGAUCAAGAGGAAUACUCAUUGCGAAGGCGACCUGCUAGAACAUAACUGACGCUGAUGCGCGAAAGCGUGGGGAGCAAACAGGAUUAGAUACCCUUGUAGUC